CACGCAGAGCGAAGCCUGACGCAGCGACGCCGCGUGGGGGAUGAAGGUCUUCGGAUUGUAAACCCCUUUCGGGAGGGAAGAUGGAAUGGGGUAACCCGUUCGGACGGUACCUCCAGAAGCAGCCACGGCUAACUUCGUGCCAGCAGCCGCGGUAAUAAU
This 159-nucleotide ribosomal RNA is filed under the name uncultured Nitrospirales bacterium. Its description in RNAcentral is "partial 16S ribosomal RNA". It matches the Rfam family "Bacterial small subunit ribosomal RNA", at positions 367 to 526 of the family's 1533-position model. The record is from RNAcentral. Lineage: Bacteria; Pseudomonadati; Nitrospirota; Nitrospiria; Nitrospirales.